Ceratotherium simum simum (southern white rhinoceros) is the source of this 650-nucleotide non-coding RNA. The record is from RefSeq and is a predicted model, not a curated record. NCBI's taxonomy places the organism in Eukaryota, Metazoa, Chordata, Mammalia, Perissodactyla, Rhinocerotidae.
UUGUAAAGACAGUUACAAAAGAAAAGUAAUAAAUAUGAUGUUAGGAAUUACUUUUUAAAAUACAACAAACCCCUGGCAUUUGUGAGCAAUCCCAAGAACUCACAACAUACAAAAAUCUGUGCUGGGAGUAAGAACUUCUUCCCCCAAACACCUCGGAGCAGAUGUUGGAAACUGGCUAGAUGAUGAGAAUGGUCAUGACUUUUGGAAUUUUGAAAGGUUCUAGAUUUUUCACUUGGGAAUGUCAGGGGUCUACUGUAAUAUAAUUUGCACAGAGUCAGAGUAAACAGGAAUUCUUCUACUCAUUAAUAUUACUUCUAACUAUUCUUUCAUUCUUACAGUUAAGUAGCACAGUAUUUAAGAGUAGAAAAAAGGCUGAAAAGAGAACAUAUGAAUGGAGGGGGAUGAAGAAGGUGGAUGUCGGGGGGUGCUAAGAGGAGAAAGGUGAUGGGAAGAAAUAGAACUUCCUGUCUUUUCUCUAUUGUGUGUCAUCUCGGCAGCAUGACAUGCCCCCUAUUGGAGAGGGGACAGUGGUCCAGCCUGGAUCCCCAUAAACCUCACCAUCAUCAAAGGACAGAAGAUGCAAAAGCAACUGACAGAAUCAGGCUCAGAAUGAGAACAAGGAAGUGGAUUGAGGAACCAAGAGGAGGCGA